This 362-nucleotide ribosomal RNA is filed under the name uncultured soil bacterium. RNAcentral's name for it is "bacterial SSU rRNA". It matches the Rfam family "Bacterial small subunit ribosomal RNA", at positions 173 to 495 of the family's 1533-position model. The record is from RNAcentral.
UGAUUACAUGCAUUAGGGAUUGUGGAGGGGGGAAGGGGGGUGUUGCGAGCCUGGCGGUGUUGAAGAUGAGGCCUGCGUCCGAUUAGCUAGUUUGUUAGGGUAAAAGCUUACGCAAGGCGAUGAUCGGUAGCUGGUCUGAGAGGAUGAUCAGCCACACUGGGACUUGAGGACACGGUCGCAGACUCCUACGGGAGGCAGCAGUGGGGAAUAUUGGACAAUGGGGGCAAGCCUGAUGCAGCGAUGCCGCGUGUGUGAUGAAGGCCUUAGGGUGGUAGAGCACUUUCAGUUGGGUGAAGCAAGUUAUACUGGCUUUGCGAUAGGCUGCAGUGAGGUAUGACGGUACCCGCUAGUAAUAAGCACCC